GAGUUUGAUCAUGGCUCAGGACGAACGCUGGCGGCGUGCCUAACACAUGCAAGUCGAGCGAUGAAGCCCUUCGGGGUGGAUUAGCGGCGGACGGGUGAGUAACACGUGGGUAACCUGCCUCAAAGAGGGGGAUAGCCUCCCGAAAGGGAGAUUAAUACCGCAUAACAUUAGCUUUUCGCAUGGAGAGCUAAUUAAAGGAGUAAUCCGCUUUGAGAUGGACCCGCGGCGCAUUAGCUAGUUGGUGAGGUAAAGGCUCACCAAGGCGACGAUGCGUAGCCGACCUGAGAGGGUGAUCGGCCACAUUGGAACUGAGACACGGUCCAGACUCCUACGGGAGGCAGCAGUGGGGAAUAUUGCACAAUGGGCGAAAGCCUGAUGCAGCAACGCCGCGUGAGUGAUGAAGGCCUUCGGGUUGUAAAGCUCUGUCUUUGGGGACGAUAAUGACGGUACCCAAGGAGGAAGCCACGGCUAACUACGUGCCAGCAGCCGCGGUAAUACGUAGGUGGCGAGCGUUGUCCGGAUUUACUGGGCGUAAAGGAUGCGUAGUGGAUGUUUAAGUCAGAUGUGAAAUACCCGAGCUUACUUGGUGCUGCAUUUGA
RNAcentral lists this ribosomal RNA (599 nucleotides) under uncultured bacterium. RNAcentral's name for it is "bacterial SSU rRNA". It matches the Rfam family "Bacterial small subunit ribosomal RNA", at positions 9 to 630 of the family's 1533-position model. The record is from RNAcentral.